This is a long non-coding RNA of Schistocerca cancellata (South American locust), 1061 nucleotides long. RefSeq lists it as uncharacterized. The record is from RefSeq and is a predicted model, not a curated record. The transcript is spliced from 3 exons. Lineage: Eukaryota; Metazoa; Arthropoda; Insecta; Orthoptera; Acrididae.
CGUCGGGGUCUAAGAAUACCGCACGCACUUGACCUUCUCAAAUACAAUCACGUUUCAGCUAAUUUGUCCAUGUGAAGCCAGCUUUGAAUAAAUAGAAAAUCUGUUUCUGACUUUAAUACGUUAUCACAACAACGAUAAGUUAGCUUACCGGUGGUUACACAGUAGGAGGUUAAGGAUAAUAAUGGUUUCUUUAACAAAGUCCUUUAAUUCCUACAUUUUUGUAUCAGUGUCGUCCUAUAUAGCUUUACUACCAGUACUGGUCGCAUAUUAGUCGAGUUUUUUCCUGUUUUCGAAGGGUUCUUUCCAAACAUUUUUCAGAAUUCUAACAUUUGCGUUCAAGAGUUGCAUUUAAAGCAAAUGAAAACUCAUCACACUGUGUAGCAAAGGAGAGAGAAAAAAAAAUCAUACUGUAGGCAAGAAGUUAGUUGAUUGAAAGUGACCAAUACAAAUAUAAUUAUUAGACAUAUUUUAAAAUUUGUUGAGAGAGAACAGGAGUGUAUCUGCAUUCACCCCUUACCUUACAUGGGUGCAAUCCAAAGGUACUCUUCUGUCUACACAGUUAGUACUUGUACUAAUUGUGUUACAAAGUUGACAGGGUGCAGUAGUCUCAUCUUGGAGAUGAGUGUUUGAAAGAAGUUUAAGCACAGAGAGAGAACAGCUUUCACAGCGUCUAUUGUUUGGAAAUACACUUUCAUAAUAGUUUGAUCAGAUUGGCCUCAAGAAGUCUGUCACAACCAACUGAGGGGUUGCAGUCCAGCCACCUAUGCAAUUCUGCAACUGGACACUAAAAUAACAUUGCCACAGCAUUCUAUAAUGACGAGAUCUGGCAUAGCUGGUUGGCUGAAUUGCUGCAUGCUGUAGCACAAUGCUGCAUUUCAGCAGCCUUCAACAUCGUGGGAAGCAAGCUCCUGCAACAACACACCUGGUCAAACAUUUGUCAUGUAUGAAAUUGUCAUCUUGAAGGCACGCUUCUCUGUACCGAACGUAACUGUGUCUGCAAAUGAAAUACAUGGUGCAAUGCCUUCUGAUGCCACAAAUGACGAAGUAGAUUCAUAACGCCC